This 497-nucleotide ribosomal RNA is filed under the name uncultured bacterium. RNAcentral's name for it is "partial 16S ribosomal RNA". It matches the Rfam family "Bacterial small subunit ribosomal RNA", at positions 28 to 507 of the family's 1533-position model. The record is from RNAcentral.
GAUGAACGCUGGCGGCGUGCCUAAUACAUGCCAGUCGAGCGAACGGACGAGAAGCUUGCUUCUCUGAUGUUAGCGGCGGACGGGUGAGUAACACGUGGAUAACCUACCUAUAAGACUGGGAUAACUUCGGGAAACCGGAGCUAAUACCGGAUAAUAUUUUGAACCGCAUGGUUCAAAAGUGAAAGACGGUCUUGCUGUCACUUAUAGAUGGAUCCGCGCUGCAUUAGCUAGUUGGUAAGGUAACGGCUUACCAAGGCAACGAUGCAUAGCCGACCUGAGAGGGUGAUCAGCCACACUGGAACUGAGACACGGUCCAGACUCCUACGGGAGGCAGCAGUAGGGAAUCUUCCGCAAUGGGCGAAAGCCUGACGGAGCAACGCCGCGUGAGUGAUGAAGGUCCUCGGAUCGUAAAACUCUGUUAUUAGGGAGGAACAUAUGUGUAAGUAACUGUGCACAUCUUGACGGUACCUAAUCAGAAAGCCACGGCUAACUACGUG